GGAAGGACAGUACAGAUAAAGUAGCUGGGAUGCUGAAUUAGAAACAGAUAUGCAAAAUGCAAGUACAUUUUAUAUUUUAUGCCUACCUUCAAUUCAGUUUCUUAAUUUAUAAUAGAUUGCCAGAAGGGCAAAUGCAGGCACAGUUGGAAAUAGUAGACUGACCUGAACUGACAUCAAAUUCUGUAAGUCUCUAUACUUUAGAGCUGGAGUUGAAGGAAUAUUGUGGAGGUCAUUAACAUAGAAUUUUAUUGAUGUGUAAUAUAUUUAUAAGGACCAUCUCUGAAUUAACACAAUUUUCUUUUUCAGAGUCCUUAUAGGACAGUUCUUCGAGAUAAUGCAAUACCAACAAUAUUUGAUCUUACCAGUCAUUUGAACAACCCACAUAGUAGACACAGAAAACGAAUAAAAGAACUGAGUGAAGAUGAAAUCAGGACACUGAAACAGAAAAAAAUUGAUGAAACUUCUGAGCAGGAACAAAAACAUAAAGAAACCAACAAUAGCAAUGCUCAGAACCCCAGCGAAGAAGAGGGUGAAGGGCAAGAUGAGGACAUUUUACCUCUAACCCUUGAAGAGAAGGAAAACAAAGAAUACCUAAAAUCUCUAUUUGAAAUCUUGAUUCUG
This 621-nucleotide non-coding RNA is filed under the name Pan troglodytes (chimpanzee). RNAcentral also lists the same sequence under 1 other name. Lineage: Eukaryota; Metazoa; Chordata; Mammalia; Primates; Hominidae. The record is from RNAcentral.